Molecule: small nuclear RNA, 100 nt
Filed under: Castor canadensis (American beaver)
Lineage: Eukaryota; Metazoa; Chordata; Mammalia; Rodentia; Castoridae
Source: RNAcentral
GUGCUUGCUUCGGCAGCACAUAUACUAAAAUUGGAAUGGUACAGAGAAGAUUAGCAUGUGCAAGAAUGACACACAAAUUCAUGAAGUGUUCCAUAUUAAA